This 2235-nucleotide long non-coding RNA is filed under the name Canis lupus familiaris (dog). RNAcentral describes it as "lncRNA (ENSCAFG00845030867.1)". The record is from RNAcentral. Lineage: Eukaryota; Metazoa; Chordata; Mammalia; Carnivora; Canidae.
UUUUUUUUUUUUUUUUUUUUUUUUUUUUUGCGACAGCGGCGAUAGCACCACUCCCUCAAGAAAUUACAUUCUUCUCCAAUUGACUCAUUUCAAUUGGAGAAGGACAAACAUUAUAUGUUCUCAUUCAUUUGGGGAAUAUAAAUAAUAGUGAAAGGGAAUGAAGGGAAGGGAGAAGAAAUGGGUAGGAAAUAUCAGAAAGAGAGACAGAACAUAAAGACUCCUAACUCGGGAUCCCUGGGUGGCGCAGCGGUUUAGCGCCUGCCUUUGGCCCAGGGCGCGAUCCUGGAGACACAGGAUCGAAUCCCACGUCGGGCUCCUGGUGCAUGGAGCCUGCUUCUCCCUCUGCCUAUGUCUCUGUCUCUGUCUCUCUCUCUCUCUCUCUGUGACUAUAAAUAAAUAAAUUAAUUAAUUAAAAAAAAAAGACUCCUAACUCUGAGAAACGAACUAGGGGUGGUGGAAGGGGAGGAGGGCGGGGAGUGGGGGUGAAUGAGUGACGGGCACUGAGGGGGGCACUUGACGGGAUGAGCACUGGGUGUUAUUCUGUAUGUUGGCAAAUUGAACACCAAUAAAAAAUAAAUUUAUUAUUAAAAAAAAAAGAAAUUACAUUCUUGAUCACAUUCAAACCACAAUCAUGGGGACACUGGGUUUCCUUGAAACAUCUGCAGAUAAAAGAAGCAAAAAUCACAGUAGAUGUGAAGGCAGCCUCCAACAUAGCCUGCUUCUUGAUAUUUGUGCCCUUGUGUAGUUCCCCGACACACUGUAUUAGAGUUGGCCUGUGUGACCAACAGAAUACAGCAGAAGGGAUGGUAUACCAUCACCUCUACUCCUAAGAAGUUAAGUAGCUCAAGAUUUUCUAGGCUCUAUUGUUCUCUCAAGGUCAUGUUUUUAUGUGACCAGAUGGGUUCUAAAUCUUUCUAGGAAUUACGUCCUAUAAUAACAAUUAUAUGUUGAUCAUUUCUUUUGUAAAGCUUUAGUGCAAAAACUUAUAUGUGCACAAAAUUUCUCAUUUCUUCAUUUGUCAAAAAUCAAAUUAAUUUGGUUCCUGUUACCAGACAGGUGAGAAAUCUAACCUCAGUUAUCACUGAAGCUUCCUCCUCUCCAUCUUUUAGCAUCUGCCCAUGGUCUUAUUCAUUGCCAGAGCAAUGGAGAGGGCCUCUGGCCUUCUGUUUCUACCCUGACCCUUUUCAUUCUUAUUGUAUGAUACCGUAGCACAAUUUUUCAGGCCCAAGCUGGGCCAUGUACUUGCAGUGAUGGGAGGAAAACCAAGGAGAGAACAAACACUAUACAAUAUCUCAACAAAUCAUCCAGUGGCAGGCAGUCAGAGAACAAAUUAAAUGUUAGGAAAAACAGAAAAGAAGUAAGCAACAUGGUACCAGCCUUUGGGUUUCUUAAACACUCAACGGGAAAUGCAAAGUGCAGAAACAAUAAACCAAGGAAUAACAAAGUAGGGCAUUUUAAAAUGUACCAUUUCAAUUGCAAAGGCUGAAGAAAUCAACAGAAGGAAAUGACCAGAGUGGAGUGGGUUGAAUAAUAAUGAUAAUAAUAAUAAUAAUAAUUAUAUAUAUAUUAUAUAUAUAUAUAUAUAUAUAUAUAUAUAUAAAAUCCCUCACAUUUGUAUGUAUAUGUUAUGAGGGACUUUCCCCACAUUUAUAAUUUCAUUUGAGAUCCUCUUUAAAAUGAGGUUGGCAGGACAGGAGUUAACAGCUUAAUUUUACAGAUGAGGAAACUGGGACUCAGCUAGCUUUGUGGCUUGUUCAGUGUCACAGAGCUGAUUAGUAGAGAAACAGAAAACUGAGCUCAGCUCUCUUUCUACCUAGUCCUUUCUCUGGCUCCUCUUCCACGUCCAUUGUGAAUUGGUCCCUGAAGGUAAGUUUAAGAGCAGGUUGGAGUUCUCUACAUGGACAAAGAAAAGAGGCAUCCAAGAGUGGCAUGGAGUGCAGGUGGCCAUGGGAGAGCAUGAAAAUAUAUAAGAAGGAAAUGAUCAAGUAGGUAGAUGGUUCUGGAUAUAAAAUAGAAAAACCAGGGUGUGAAAUGCUGAAAGAAUGCCAAGUGGUGACUAAGGGAACCAUUGAUCUUAGAUGGAAAAUUCUCCCCUCCCACCCCCUGACUAAGAAAUUUAUCUCCUACAUCUCUUCAAACUGAAGAAACAUAAAGAAAACACCAGUAUCUUCAUGCAGUAUAUCAUCCAGUGCAUGCAUACAAUCUCUCUUGGGCCAUUUCUAAAUCUUAGUCAUA